This 305-nucleotide ribosomal RNA is filed under the name uncultured bacterium. RNAcentral's name for it is "partial 16S ribosomal RNA". It matches the Rfam family "Bacterial small subunit ribosomal RNA", at positions 508 to 808 of the family's 1533-position model. The record is from RNAcentral.
ACAGCAGUCGCCGCGGUAAUACGUAGGUGGCAAGCGUUGUCCGGAAUUAUUGGGCGUAAAGGGCUCGCAGGCGGUUUCUUAAGUCUGAUGUGAAAGCCCCCGGCUCAACCGGGGAGGGUCAUUGGAAACUGGGAAACUUGAGUGCAGAAGAGGAGAGUGGAAUUCCACGUGUAGCGGUGAAAUGCGUAGAGAUGUGGAGGAACACCAGUGGCGAAGGCGACUCUCUGGUCUGUAACUGACGCUGAGGAGCGAAAGCGUGGGGAGCGAACAGGAUUAGAUACCCGGUAGUCCCUGUCUCUUAUACA